RNAcentral lists this ribosomal RNA (559 nucleotides) under uncultured Gammaproteobacteria bacterium. RNAcentral's name for it is "bacterial SSU rRNA". It matches the Rfam family "Bacterial small subunit ribosomal RNA", at positions 56 to 650 of the family's 1533-position model. Lineage: Bacteria; Pseudomonadati; Pseudomonadota; Gammaproteobacteria. The record is from RNAcentral.
UGCAAGUCGAACGUGAAAGCACUUCGGUGUGAGUAGAGUGGCGGACGGGUGAGUAACGCGUGGGAAUCUGCCCAGUAGUGGGGGACAACUACCGGAAACGGUAGCUAAUACCGCAUACGCCCUAUGGGGGAAAGGCUUCGGCCGCUAUUGGAUGAGCCCGCGUCAGAUUAGCUAGUUGGUAGGGUAAAGGCCUACCGAGGCAACGAUCUGUAGCUGGUCUGAGAGGACGAACAGCCACACUGGGACUGAGACACGGCCCAGACUCCUACGGGAGGCAGCAGUGGGGAAUAUUGGACAAUGGGCGAAAGCCUGAUCCAGCAAUGCCGCGUGUGUGAAGAAGGCCUGCGGGUUGUAAAGCACUUUCAGUUGGGAAGAUGAUGACGUUACCAACAGAAGAAGCACCGGCUAAAUCCGUGCCAGCAGCCGCGGUAAUACGGAUGGUGCGAGCGUUAAUCGGAAUUACUGGGCGUAAAGCGCGCGUAGGCGGCUAAGUCAGUCAGAAGUGAAAGCCCAGGGCUCAACCUGGGAAUUGCUUUUGAUACUGCUUGGCUAGAGUUUG